UACGAAGGGGACUAGCGUUGUUCGGAAUCACUGGGCGUAAAGCGCACGUAGGCGGAUGUGUCAGUCAGGGGUGAAAUCCCGGGGCUCAACCUCGGAACUGCCUUUGAUACUGGCGAUCUCGAGUCCGGGAGAGGUGAGUGGAACUGCGAGUGUAGAGGUGAAAUUCGUAGAUAUUCGCAAGAACACCAGUGGCGAAGGCGGCUCACUGGCCCGGUACUGACGCUGAGGUGCGAAAGCGUGGGGAGCAAACAGG
Molecule: ribosomal RNA, 253 nt
Filed under: uncultured bacterium
Lineage: Bacteria
Description: partial 16S ribosomal RNA
Rfam family: Bacterial small subunit ribosomal RNA
Source: RNAcentral